CCUACGGGGGGCAGCAGUGGGGAAUAUUGGACAAUGGGCGAAAGCCUGAUCCAGCAAUGCCGCGUGAAUAAUGAAGGCCUUAGGGUUGUAAAGUUCUUUUAGUAGGGAAGAUAAUGACGGUACCUACAGAAAAAGCCCCGGCUAACUCCGUGCCAGCAGCCGCGGUAAGACGGAGGGGGCUAGCGUUGUUCGGAAUUACUGGGCGUAAAGAGCGCGUAGGCGGUUUGGUAAGUUGGAAGUGAAAUCCCGGGGCUUAACCUCGGAAUUGCUUUCAAAACUGCCAAUCUAGAGUGUAGUAGGGGAUGAUGGAAUUCCUAGUGUAGAGGUGAAAUUCUUAGAUAUUAGGAGGAACACCGGUGGCGAAGGCGGUCAUCUGGGCUACAACUGACGCUGAUGCGCGAAAGCGUGGGGAGCAAACAGGAUUAGAUACCCCUGUAGUC
Molecule: ribosomal RNA, 440 nt
Filed under: Candidatus Trichorickettsia mobilis
Lineage: Bacteria; Pseudomonadati; Pseudomonadota; Alphaproteobacteria; Rickettsiales; Rickettsiaceae
Description: bacterial SSU rRNA
Rfam family: Bacterial small subunit ribosomal RNA
Source: RNAcentral